RNAcentral lists this ribosomal RNA (310 nucleotides) under uncultured bacterium. Its description in RNAcentral is "bacterial SSU rRNA". It matches the Rfam family "Bacterial small subunit ribosomal RNA", at positions 29 to 334 of the family's 1533-position model. The record is from RNAcentral.
AACGAACGCUGGUGGUAUGCCUAAUACAUGCAAGUCGAACGAGAAAGCUCUUCGGAGUGAGUACAGCGGCGCACGGGUGAGUAACACGUAGGUGAUCUGCCUUUUAGUGGGGGAUAACACCGGGAAACCGGUGCUAAUACCGCAUGUGAUGGAGGAAAUUGGAAAACUUCAUCAAAGGGGGCUUCGGCUCUCGCUAGAAGAGGAGCCUGCGUAACAUUAGUUUGAUGGUGGGGUAAUGGCCUACCAUGGCAAUGAUGUUUAACUGGUCUGAGAGGAUGAUCAGUCACACUGGAACUGAGACACGGUCCAG